This 69-nucleotide transfer RNA is filed under the name Ictidomys tridecemlineatus (thirteen-lined ground squirrel). RNAcentral's name for it is "Spermophilus tridecemlineatus (thirteen-lined ground squirrel) tRNA". It matches the Rfam family "tRNA". Rfam says of the family: Transfer RNA (tRNA) molecules are approximately 80 nucleotides in length. Lineage: Eukaryota; Metazoa; Chordata; Mammalia; Rodentia; Sciuridae. The record is from Rfam by way of RNAcentral.
GGGGUUGUGGCUCAGUGGUAGAGCACUUGCCUGGCAUGUGUGAGGCCCUGGGUUCGAUCCGCAGCACCA